UCUUUCUUAAAGAACACCAUUAUCGAAAUGAUGUCAUAUGGCUGGUUUUAAAAGUUUUCUGCAUGAUGUAUUGUGAAAUUCAAAACAAUUUUUAAAAGAAUAUUAUAAGCUUGUUAGUAAAACUCAUUUGUAUAUGUGACAAUUCUCUUUUAGCCCUGAAAGACUAUUUGCGCAGAUGCCAGUUACUUAACAAAUUUGAAGUAUUAGGAUAAGGCACAUUAUAAAUGUAGUGUUUUUCCAAAUUGAGUUGUGAUUCUAAUAGGCAAUGUAAUAGCUCUUGAAAUUCGAAUUAUUUUAUAAUAUUAACUGUAUGCAUAAAUUCGGAUUAAAUAUUUUGUGGUAUUAACUGUAUGUAUAAUUUCUUUAUAGUGAAUGAAUAUAAAAAAGCAGCAAGGCACACCUCUUAAUUUAUUUCCCAGCCCAAAGCACUUUCCCUAUCAUCUGUACAAAAAGUAGUGGUAGGGCAGUGCAGGAGCUUGCAGUCAGAUUUCCUUGGAUUGGUUUCCAGGUCCUACUAUUUACUUGCUAAAUGACUGUAGGCAGGUGUGUUCAUUGUCAUAAUCAAAGUAUCUCUGCCCUUAAACACAAAAAGAAGAUGAAUACAGACCAUUUUGUGUUCUCUGAAGGAAAUAAAGAUGAGUAAUUGGCGUACACAA
This 656-nucleotide long non-coding RNA is filed under the name Homo sapiens (human). Its description in RNAcentral is "novel transcript, sense intronic to LEMD3". Lineage: Eukaryota; Metazoa; Chordata; Mammalia; Primates; Hominidae. The record is from RNAcentral.